GGGUGCUAAAAACAUAUAUAGAUAUCUGCUGCAUAAAAAUAUAUGGCAUUAAUACAUGUGUAUGUCCAGUUUACAAAAGCAUAUCUAUGCUAUGUUUCUAGUUGAGAUCCACCAUGUUUUUGAUUAAAUCAAUUUAGUGUUAAUUUUAGAAAAUAAAUAUUUUUUUAUGAAGAUUAACAUUUAUAUUACAUUCAUACUUUGAGAUCUCUCCCUAUCAAAGAUUGUUGCUACUGAGCUCAAUAUAAAAAUGGAAAAAAAGAUAUACCUUUAUUGCCACAUUAAUGAAACCAAACUACAGAGGAGCAUUUUAAUUGAUAUUUUGCCCCUUUCAGGAAAGGCACCUUAUGCUCUUUAUGGCCUCACUAUCGUAUCGUUUAUUUUCCUGUCAUAUAUCUGUG
This is a non-coding RNA of Pelobates cultripes (western spadefoot toad), 398 nucleotides long. NCBI's taxonomy places the organism in Eukaryota, Metazoa, Chordata, Amphibia, Anura, Pelobatidae. The record is from the annotation of a GenBank genome assembly.